CGGCGGACGGCUCAGUAACACGUGGACAACCUACCCUCGGGUGGGGGAUAACCCCGGGAAACUGGGGCUAAUACCCCAUAGGCCAUGGAGACUGGAAUGUCCCAUGGCCGAAAGCUCCGGCGCCCGAGGAUGGGUCUGCGGCGGAUUAGGUAGUUGGUGGGGUAACGGCCCACCAAGCCUAAGAUCCGUACGGGCUGUGAGAGCAGGAGCCCGGAGAUGGACACUGAGACAAGGGUCCAGGCCCUACGGGGCGCAGCAGGCGCGAAACCUCCGCAAUGCGGGAAACCGCGACGGGGCUAGCCAGAGUGCCCGUGCAUAGCGCGGGCUGUCCGGGUGCCUAAAAAGCACCCGAUAGCAAGGGAUGGGCAAGGCCGGUGGCAGCCGCCGCGGUAAUACCGGCGUCCCGAGUGGCGGCCACUAUUAUUGGGCCUAAAGCGUCCGUAGCCGGCCCAGUAAGUCCCCCGGGAAAUCUGGUCGCUCAACGAUCAGACUUCCGGGGGAUACUGCUGGGCUAGGGACCGGGAGAGGCCGAGGGUAUUCCCGGGGUAGGGGUGAAAUCCUGUAAUCCCGGGAGGACCACCUGUGGCGAAGGCGCUCGGCUAGAACGGGUCCGACGGUGAGGGACGAAGGCCUGGGGAGCGAACCGGAUUAGAUACCCGGGUAGUCCAGGCUGUAAACGAUGCGGGCUAGGUGUCACCGAAGCUACGAGCUUCGGUGGUGCCGGAGGGGAGCCGUUAAGCCCGCCGCCUGGGAAGUACGGCCGCAAGGCUGAAACUUAAAGGAAUUGGCGGGGGAGCACUACAACGGGUGGAGCCUGCGGUUUAAUUGGAUUCAACGCCGGGAAGCUCACCGGGGGAGACAGCUGGAUGAAGGUCGGGCUGAAGACCUUACCA
This 893-nucleotide ribosomal RNA is filed under the name uncultured archaeon. RNAcentral describes it as "bacterial SSU rRNA". It matches the Rfam family "Archaeal small subunit ribosomal RNA", at positions 79 to 973 of the family's 1478-position model. The record is from RNAcentral.